Oreochromis aureus is the source of this 1367-nucleotide long non-coding RNA. Lineage: Eukaryota; Metazoa; Chordata; Actinopteri; Cichliformes; Cichlidae. The record is from Ensembl.
UGAGUCUCUGCUUCUGAGCUGCUUCACUCUUACUUUGGUUGAGUUUGCAGAGCUGCCUCCCUCUCGUGCAUUGCUGGUCGCCUUCUUCUGAUGCUAGGUGGAACCUGAAAGUCAGAAUGAAAUGAGCUGCUUUCACUUUGGUGUGUUCAUCCUUCUCAGGAAUGUUAGGUAGUGGUGGGCGGAUCGAUCCAAAUAUCGAUAGUAUCGAUACCAAGUCGGCAUCGGUAUCGGAUCGAUACUAGCCUGGAGACAUGUUUAUCUUGUCACAAAGAACAAGUUUUAUUACACCGCUAUUAUCGCGAGGUUUGGGGCGUGACAAUAUAGACUGUGAGCCCACGUUGAUAAUCACGCUAAGGAGUUCAGCGAGCUAUCUGCAAAGGCCUGGUUAGUCUACCAGCUGUACAAGAAGGCACAAGACUGUAAAGAUAUUCUUCUAGAACCUCCGAAGUGGCAGGCGGCCACGAGUUUUCACGGCGUUCAAUAAAUGCAGCGAAGCGCCCGUCUUGAAGAAGCCGUGCCUGUGUUGUCAUUUCGGAGUUACAGCUGUGCUUUCGGCAAAGACGAAACAGCCAGGUCGCUGGACUCGCCACUCCUGUGUCAGCGAAGAGCAGGCACACUUUGCUCCCUCUCCCCCACUCUUAUGUUUCAGUGUCGCGCUGUCAUGUCAUGUGACUUAGACACUUUGGGGGUUUUUAAGUUGUUUACAUACUGUAUUAAUUAUAUUUUUACCAGUUGUUUCUGUUGUUGAGAAUUUUAAUUGUAAUUUUUGUAUUAUAGUUUAUCAACAGUAUGUCACGAUCCUGGGUCUUAUGACCCAGCGCUUUGAGUUUUAGUUUAUUUUGAUGUUUAUAGUAUAUGGUUAAGCUCAUUAGGUUUUCUAGUUCAUUUGUUAUUAGAUUCCCCUUGUGUCGUCCAACCCCUGUUAAGUCUCCCCUGCCCUUCAUGUGUUUCAUGUCUGCGUCUCAUGUUUCCUGUUUUAUUUUGAAGAGAUCUUGUGUUCCUGUGUUCAUCGUGUUUAGUUUUACUCUUCCACUGAGGUCGUUAUGUUCAUGUGUGUCAGCUGUUCCCCCAUGUGUUCCCACUUCUCUCAUUAGCCUCCUGUGUGUAUUUAGUCUGUGCCUUCUCAUUCAGUCUUUGUCGGAUCGUCUGUGUUAUUCCCAGGCCAUGUCCUGUGUUCAGGUUUUCAUAUAUCCUCCUCAUCAUUGCCAUGUUUAGAGUUUUGUUUGUGUUUCUGUUUGCCAGGGUUUUCAUAGUUUGUGCUUCCUUUCUAUUUUAACCAGUUUAGGUUAUUGCUUAGUUUGAAUUGUUUUUGCCCUUUUAUUUUGUACUUUCCUGUCUGCCUGAAUAAACACCUAAUCAUCAGUUAA